Molecule: ribosomal RNA, 253 nt
Filed under: uncultured bacterium
Lineage: Bacteria
Description: partial 16S ribosomal RNA
Rfam family: Bacterial small subunit ribosomal RNA
Source: RNAcentral
UACGUAGGGGGCUAGCGUUGUCCGGAAUCAUUGGGCGUAAAGCGCGUGUAGGCGGUCCGGUAAGUCCGCUGUGAAAGUCGGGGGCUCAACCCUCGAAUGCCGGUGGAUACUGUCGGGCUAGAGUACGGAAGAGGCGAGUGGAAUUCCUGGUGUAGCGGUGAAAUGCGCAGAUAUCAGGAGGAACACCAAUUGCGAAGGCAGGUCGCUGGGACGUUACUGACGCUGAGACGCGAAAGCGUGGGGAGCAAACAGG